UACAGAGGGUGCAAGCGUUGUCCGGAUUUAUUGGGCGUAAAGAGCUCGUAGGCGGUGUGUCACGUCGGCCGUGAAAACCUGCAGCUUAACUGUGGGCGUGCGGUCGAUACGGGCAUCACUGGAGUUCGGCAGGGGAGACUGGAAUUCCUGGUGUAGCGGUGAAAUGCGUAGAUAUCAGGAGGAACACCGGUGGUGUAGACGGCUUUCUGGACCGUAACUGACGCUGAGACACGAAAGCGUGGGUAGCAAACAGG
Molecule: ribosomal RNA, 254 nt
Filed under: uncultured bacterium
Lineage: Bacteria
Description: partial 16S ribosomal RNA
Rfam family: Bacterial small subunit ribosomal RNA
Source: RNAcentral